CGGAUAGAGCCAGCGAAGUCGCUCGUAUUCAGCCAAAAGUCUGGGGUUGCCUCUCGUCGUGUUUCUAAUCGAGCACGGCGGUUUGUCUUCUCCGGAUUGAGGUGCAUUUGCGGGCGUUUGCGCUGAGACUUGCGAGGCAGCUGCGGGACCGGCGUCUAGAGGCUUCCCAUUGGGUCGAACCUGGGCGCCGUUACAGCUGUUUGCCUUGCUCGUACUGGUCUGGCCUACGGACCCUGCUCGUGCUGUUGUCAGCUGGCCAAGGCAUCGCAUGCGAUGUCUAGCCUGGGGGCUGCAGCGCGGGUUGGUGUCCCCGGAUCGCCUCUCGGUGUAGAAGCUGGUCAUCUCUCCGACCCGUCUUGAAACACGGACCAAGGAGUUUAGCGUAUGCGCGAGUCAUUGGGUGUUAAAACUCACAGGCGCAAUGAAAGUGAAGGCUCGGUCGCCGGGCUGACAUGCGAGUGCCGCGGCUUCGGCCUAGGCAUGCAGCAUGGUCCCAUUGCAAUCGUUUACGAUACAGUGGAGACAGAGCGUAUGCGCUGAG
This 541-nucleotide ribosomal RNA is filed under the name Mesocriconema xenoplax. RNAcentral describes it as "partial large subunit ribosomal RNA". It matches the Rfam family "Eukaryotic large subunit ribosomal RNA", at positions 420 to 813 of the family's 3401-position model. Lineage: Eukaryota; Metazoa; Nematoda; Chromadorea; Rhabditida; Criconematidae. The record is from RNAcentral.